UACGUAGGGGGCUAGCGUUGUCCGGAAUCAUUGGGCGUAAAGCGCGUGUAGGCGGUCCGGUAAGUCCGCUGUGAAAGUCGAGGGCUCAACCCUCGAAUGCCGGUGGAUACUGUCGGGCUUGAGUACAGGAGAGGCGAGUGGAAUUCCUGGUGUAGCGGUGAAAUGCGCAGAUAUCAGGAGGAACACCGAUUGCGAAGGCAGCUCGCUGGAACGUUACUGACGCUGAGACGCGAAAGCGUGGGGAGCAAACAGG
Molecule: ribosomal RNA, 253 nt
Filed under: uncultured bacterium
Lineage: Bacteria
Description: partial 16S ribosomal RNA
Rfam family: Bacterial small subunit ribosomal RNA
Source: RNAcentral